RNAcentral lists this transfer RNA (116 nucleotides) under Candidatus Bathyarchaeota archaeon. Its description in RNAcentral is "tRNA-Trp". Lineage: Archaea; Thermoproteati; Candidatus Bathyarchaeota. The record is from RNAcentral. RNAcentral also lists the same sequence under 1 other name.
GGGGCCGUAGUCAAGCCAGGGAUGACGACGGGCUCCAGACCCGUAGACAUAGGAUUGGCGGAAGUCGAGGGUUCAAAAUGGUCCGUGAGACCAUGAAUAUCCCUUCGGCCCCACCA